This 1773-nucleotide ribosomal RNA is filed under the name Triticum aestivum (bread wheat). RNAcentral's name for it is "partial small subunit ribosomal RNA". Lineage: Eukaryota; Viridiplantae; Streptophyta; Magnoliopsida; Poales; Poaceae. The record is from RNAcentral.
AUGCAUGAUUCGGCAGAGAAGGCAGCUGCGGAUAUGGAUUUCAGUGAGGAGGUUCUCAGGCAUGAGUCUGGAAAUAGAGGUGAAGGAAACACAAAGCUGGUUCUUGGGAACAACGAUUCUGGUGCUGCUGUCAGUGUGGGUACCAGGACCAGGAAGUUCAGUCGUGAUGAUAAAGGAAAGGGGAAGAUGGUUGUGGAAGAGGUUUUAUUGCCCCAGAAGUUAAGUGAUGAUGAGAUGGAUUGGCAACCUGUGGUUUUAGAGGAGAAUCAGAGCGUCUCAGGAGCAGCUGAUGCUGAUGUGGAGCCACUUUGGAGGCAAGCGGCAAGAGAGAGAGCUAUUAAGCUGGCACCAAAAUUUGCAUUCUUCAAAGCAGAUGAAGAUGUACAUAGUGAUGAAGAUGAUGAAGAAGAGUUAGAGCCUGCGGCUGAUGCUCAGGAUUGGCCAGGUCCAUAUUCUACUGCAUUGAGGAUCAUGGAUGAUAGAGAUGCCAAAUUGAGAGCCAGGGAGUUGGGUCCGUCGUCUAAACUAGCUAAUGAUGCUGAUAAUGUCAUUCUGUGGACACCUUUGAAAAACAAGAAAGCUCCGCUGCGACCUGUCCCAUCACUUGCAAGCUUAUGCAUGCAAACUCUUGCAAGCCAUGCUGAAGGUAUUGAAUCACUUGGAGGCAUACCUGAGGACCUAAAACAUAAACUUCUCACGGAACUGUGCCGUUCUAGGAAGAUGAAUACCCAUCUUCUUACUGAAAUCUUGUGUGACAAUCCUGUGGCACUGCAGCUUAGGGAGUGUUCCUGGUUGAAUGAGGAUGACUUUGAGGCUGUUUUUGGUAAAUGCAUGAUUGAAUCCUUAGAGGUUCUGCAGCUUGACUUAUCUGGGCGAUGCAUGCCUGACUAUAUUUUGCCUACUACCUUGGCAAAGGUUCCAAAUUGCAUGCCAUUAUUAAGAAAAAUAUCUCUGAUGGGAAAUUACCGUCUUUCUGAUAAUGGGUUAGACAAACUCAUCUCAGCAGCACCUUCUCUGAGUUCGCUAAAUUUAAGCGAGUGUUCUCUUCUCACAUCAACUGGAAUUGAGAAUCUUGCUAAUAGGCUGCAAUCUGUAUUGAGAGAACUAUAUAUUAAUGACUGCCUAAAUGUGGAUGCCAUGAUGAUUCUUCCUGCUCUAAAGAAAAUUAAACAACUGGAGGUUUUAUCAAUGUCUGGCAUACAGUCUGUCUGUGACAAGUUUGUGAAUGAGCUCAUUCCUAUACAUGGCCCUAAUAUAAGGGAGUUAGCGUUUGCUGGUUGCCUGAAACUGACCUCAUCCUCCAUUAAGACUAUUGGGGUGAACUGCCCCCAGUUAUCAUCUUUAGAUAUACGAAACUUGAGUAGGUUGCGUGACUCAGCAACGAGACAUCUUCGUGAUGGCUGUCGUUUUAUAAAGAAAUUAAAGCUUCAAAAGAAUACAUUCAGUGAUGAAGCACUGUCUCAGUUUUUGGAAGAAUCUGGAGGAUGUCUAACUGAGUUGAGCCUAAACAACAUUGAGAAGGUUGGAAACCUUACUUCACGGUCGAUUGCUCUCAAGUGCUCCGUACGCUUGGAGGUUCUGGAUGUUUCCUUCUGCCGUGGUCUGACCAAUGAAGCUUUGGGCCUGAUUGUUGACAGUUGCUCAUCAUUGAGAACUCUCAAGCUAUUUGGGUGUACCCAGAUCACGGAUAUUUUCCUCAAGGGCCACUCGAACUCAUUGGCUAAAAUUAUUGGGAUAGAAGGGAGCAUACUGGAGCAAUUGGGUGGUUAUUAG